RNAcentral lists this long non-coding RNA (345 nucleotides) under Trifolium pratense (red clover). Its description in RNAcentral is "long non-coding RNA (TPRA_LNC005389)". The record is from RNAcentral. Lineage: Eukaryota; Viridiplantae; Streptophyta; Magnoliopsida; Fabales; Fabaceae.
UCCAAAUUGUUUUUUCUUUCUCGUUAUUAAAUAAGUGUGAUUUUUCACAUAUUUGUUUGGUUUUGUGUUAUUUGUUAUCCCGUCCUUGUGCGGUGUAUUCUGUUGUGCCGUCUCUGUGCGGUGUAUUUUGUUUUCCCGUCUUUGUGCGGUGUUCAUUUGUUUCAGGUUGAAAGAUUAGAUCCGAUCAAGUACAAAUCUAUCCAAUGUCGACUUUUGUGUCAUCAAUGUUGCAGAUCUGGGGGCAUGGACAUUCCAGACACUUCAAUAUAGUCAUAUAUGUAGGCUUAUGUAAUUUGCCGUUUUAUGCUAUUAACAUGGAUGCUGUGAGUUUGUUUGCAGAUUCAU